RNAcentral lists this ribosomal RNA (471 nucleotides) under uncultured bacterium. RNAcentral describes it as "partial 16S ribosomal RNA". It matches the Rfam family "Bacterial small subunit ribosomal RNA", at positions 28 to 506 of the family's 1533-position model. The record is from RNAcentral.
GACGAACGCUGGCGGCGUGCUUAACACAUGCAAGUCGAACGAUGAGCCCGGAGCUUGGUCUGUGGGAUUAUUGGCGAACAGGUGAGUAUCACGUGUGGAAACUGCCCUUGUCACUGGGGUAAGCGUUGGAAAAGACGGCGCAUACCGGGUAGGACCUUGUGUCGCAUGAUGUGGGGUGGAAAGAUUUUUCGGUCUGGGCUGUACUCGGGGCCUCUAAGCUUGUUGGGGUGGUAGUGGCUCAACAAGGCGUCGAAGGGUAGCCGGCCUAACAGGGUGACCGGCAACGCUGGGACUGAGACACGGCGCAGACGCCUACGGGAGGCAGCAGUGGGGAAUAGUGCAACAGGGGAGAAAGCCGGAUGUAGCAACGGCGCGUGCGGGGUGAAGGCCUUCGGGUUGUAAACCGCAUUUGGUAGGGAAGAAGGGCUUCGGCUUGACGGUCCCUGCAGAAAAAGGACCGGUUAACUCCGU